CGUGUAGGCGGGUCUACAAGUCAGAUGUGAAAUCUAUGGGCUCAACCCAUAACGUGCAUUUGAAACUGUAGGUCUUGAGUGAUGGAGAGGCAGGCGGAAUUCCUAGUGUAGCGGUGAAAUGCGUAGAUAUUAGGAGGAACACCAGUGGCGAAGGCGGCCUGCUGGACAUUAACUGACGCUGAGGCGCGAAAGCGUGGGGAGCAAACA
RNAcentral lists this ribosomal RNA (207 nucleotides) under uncultured Eubacteriales bacterium. RNAcentral's name for it is "uncultured Clostridiales bacterium partial 16S ribosomal RNA". It matches the Rfam family "Bacterial small subunit ribosomal RNA", at positions 568 to 774 of the family's 1533-position model. The record is from RNAcentral. Lineage: Bacteria; Bacillati; Bacillota; Clostridia; Eubacteriales.